CCUGGUAUCACUUUUCUGUGUUUUUCCUUUGUAAUAAAAUACCAAAAUUAAGCUGAUAAACAAAAUCAGCGUUAUUGUAUUUAUAACGACGUUAGAAAAUGUCCAGAACCGGGACACUGUGGGAUAGAGCGCAAGUGGCGGGUUACAGAA
Caenorhabditis elegans is the source of this 150-nucleotide non-coding RNA. The record is from Ensembl. NCBI's taxonomy places the organism in Eukaryota, Metazoa, Nematoda, Chromadorea, Rhabditida, Rhabditidae.